This 77-nucleotide transfer RNA is filed under the name Clostridium sp. CAG:356. RNAcentral's name for it is "transfer RNA-Arg(TCT)". It matches the Rfam family "tRNA". From Rfam's summary of the family: Transfer RNA (tRNA) molecules are approximately 80 nucleotides in length. Their secondary structure includes four short double-helical elements and three loops (D, anti-codon, and T loops). Lineage: Bacteria; Bacillati; Bacillota; Clostridia; Eubacteriales; Clostridiaceae. RNAcentral also lists the same sequence under 1 other name. The record is from RNAcentral.
GGGUCAGUAGCUCAGUUGGAUAGAGUACGGGCCUUCUAAGCCUGGGGUCGGGGGUUCGAAUCCCUUCUGGCUCACCA